CCUACGGGCGGCUGCAGUGGGGAAUAUUGGACAAUGGGCGAAAGCCUGAUCCAGCCAUGCCGCGUGUGUGAAGAAGGCCUUCGGGUUGUAAAGCACUUUCAGUGGGGAAGAAAGCCUUGGGGCUAAUACCCUCGAGGAAGGACAUCACCCACAGAAGAAGCACCGGCUAACUCCGUGCCAGCAGCCGCGGUAAUACGGAGGGUGCGAGCGUUAAUCGGAAUUACUGGGCGUGAAGCGCGCGUAGGCGGUCUGAUAAGCCGGUUGUGAAAGCCCCGGGCUCAACCUGGGAACGGCAUCCGGAACUGUCAGGCUAGAGUGCAGGAGAGGAAGGUAGAAUUCCCGGUGUAGCGGUGAAAUGCGUAGAGAUCGGGAGGAAUACCAGUGGCGAAGGCGGCCUUCUGGACUGACACUGACGCUGAGGUGCGAAAGCGUGGGUAGCAAACAGGAUUAGAUACCCCAGUAGUC
RNAcentral lists this ribosomal RNA (465 nucleotides) under Vreelandella stevensii. RNAcentral's name for it is "partial 16S ribosomal RNA". It matches the Rfam family "Bacterial small subunit ribosomal RNA", at positions 338 to 795 of the family's 1533-position model. The record is from RNAcentral. Lineage: Bacteria; Pseudomonadati; Pseudomonadota; Gammaproteobacteria; Oceanospirillales; Halomonadaceae.